UACGGAGGGUGCAAGCGUUAUCCGGAAUCAUUGGGUUUUAAAGGGUCCGCAGGCGGUCUUAUAAGUCAGUGGUGAAAGCCUACAGCUCAACUGUAGAACUGCCAUUGAUACUGUAAGACUUGAAUUCGAUCGAAGUGGGCGGAAUAUGACAUGUAGCGGUGAAAUGCUUUAGAUAUGUCAUAGAACACCGAUAGCGAAGGCAGCUCACUAGGUCUGGAUUGACGCGUCAAGGGACGGAAAGCGUGGGGAGCAAACACGG
This 259-nucleotide ribosomal RNA is filed under the name uncultured bacterium. RNAcentral's name for it is "partial 16S ribosomal RNA". It matches the Rfam family "Bacterial small subunit ribosomal RNA", at positions 524 to 777 of the family's 1533-position model. The record is from RNAcentral.